UAAUAUACUCGUGUGCAAUUACGUUAAAUGAACGGCGCCAAGAUAAAUUAUGAAAAAAAAAAAAAUAAUAAUAAUAAAAGAAACCCCGAAGAGUCGGUCAUAAUAUUAUACGUCUCGUGAUAUUAUUGUGUGUGAAAUACGACAGCAGUGAGAAUAUCACCGAGAGAGACACACAGGGAAACGCGUCGUAAUAAACUGUUUGUAUUUUUUUUUUUCCUUUUACGCAAUCGUUUCCUUGAGCAUAAUAUAUGUUCGCGUAUCGAAUACUCCGUGUACGUAUACACCUAUAGUUUUGGUAUUAUACCCGCAAUAUAGAUAGGUACAUCGGGUAAUUCGAUACCGUACCGUAUAUUAUAAUAUUAUUAGGUAUUACUAUACGCGCCGAGGACGAAUUUCAAGAGCGUUAUAAUAAUAAUAUUAAUACUCUGCUGUUCAUCGUUCUUCGGAGUGAUCUGAUUUCACAUAAUAUAAUAAUACGGUAUCGCGUACCCGUGUUCAAGACGGACGGCGAUAAAGCCGUUUAAAACGCAACGUCGAGAUAACGCAAAAAAAAAAAAUUAGUAAAAUAAAUUUUAAAAAGUAACCAGUUUUGUGUUGUUGACAGUGCAAAUCAAACUCGCAGGUGCCUUUGUAUUAUUAUAUUGCGAUACUUCUACGCGCACUCGUGCGAUAAAAUAAGUCGAGCAUUUUUUUCCCGCCAUUUUAAUAUUAAACCUACGCGAUUUAUCGUCACG
Non-coding RNA from Cinara cedri, 734 nucleotides. The record is from the annotation of a GenBank genome assembly. Lineage: Eukaryota; Metazoa; Arthropoda; Insecta; Hemiptera; Aphididae.